AACCUAGCACACCUGCGGUGUGUACCUGCGGAAGGAUCAUUACAACAAGGUUCCCUGGCCCUCGAAGCUUCGGCGGAGGGGCGCUACAGCCUGACUUUAUACCCACCCUUUGCCUAUGUGUACCCCUAUUGCUUCCCUCGGCGGGCUCGCCCGCCGACAGGAACCAACUAAACCCUUUGCAUUAUACAUUUAACACUUCCGAUACAAAACUAAAUUAUUACAACUUUCAGCAACGGAUCU
RNAcentral lists this unclassified non-coding RNA (240 nucleotides) under soil metagenome. Its description in RNAcentral is "partial contains 5.8S ribosomal RNA, internal transcribed spacer 2, and large subunit ribosomal RNA". The record is from RNAcentral.